RNAcentral lists this ribosomal RNA (467 nucleotides) under uncultured bacterium. RNAcentral's name for it is "bacterial SSU rRNA". It matches the Rfam family "Bacterial small subunit ribosomal RNA", at positions 329 to 793 of the family's 1533-position model. The record is from RNAcentral.
GCCCAGACUCCUACGGGAGGCAGCAGUGAGGAAUAUUGGUCAAUGGGCGAGAGCCUGAACCAGCCAAGUCGCGUGAAGGAUGACUGCCCUACGGGUUGUAAACUUCUUUUAUAAAGGAAUAAAGUGAGGCACGUGUGCCUUUUUGUAUGUGCUUUAUGAAUAAGGAUCGGCUAACUCCGUGCCAGCAGCCGCGGCAAUACGGAGGAUCCGAGCGUUAUCCGGAUUUAUUGGGUUUAAAGGGUGCGUAGGCGGGCUGUGAAGUCGGCGGUCAAAUGUCGGGGCUCACCCCCGGCCUGCCGUUGAAACUGGCGGCCUCGAGUGGGCGAGAAGUAUGCGGAAUGCGUGGUGUAGCGGUGAAAUGCAUAGAUAUCACGCAGAACUCCGAUUGCGAAGGCAGCAUACCGGCGCCCGACUGACGCUGAGGCACGAAAGCGUGGGUAUCGAACAGGAUUAGAUACCCCUGUACG